RNAcentral lists this ribosomal RNA (468 nucleotides) under uncultured bacterium. Its description in RNAcentral is "partial 16S ribosomal RNA". It matches the Rfam family "Bacterial small subunit ribosomal RNA", at positions 28 to 507 of the family's 1533-position model. The record is from RNAcentral.
GACGAACGCUGGCGGCGUGCUUAACACAUGCAAGUCGAACGGAAAGGCCCUGCUUUUGUGGGGUGCUCGAGUGGCGAACGGGUGAGUAACACGUGAGUAACCUGCCCUUGACUUUGGGAUAACUUCAGGAAACUGGGGCUAAUACCGGAUAGGAGCUCCUGCUGCAUGGUGGGGGUUGGAAAGUUUCGGCGGUUGGGGAUGGACUCGCGGCUUAUCAGCUUGUUGGUGGGGUAGUGGCUUACCAAGGCUUUGACGGGUAGCCGGCCUGAGAGGGUGACCGGCCACAUUGGGACUGAGGUACGGCCCAGACGCAUACGGGAGGCAGCAGUGGGGAAUAUUGCACAAUGGGCGGAAGCCUGAUGCAGCAACGCCGCGUGCGGGAUGACGGCCUUCGGGUUGUAAACCGCUUGCGCCUGUGACGAAGCGUGAGUGACGGUAAUGGGUAAAGAAGCACCGGCUAACUACGUG